This 4908-nucleotide transfer RNA is filed under the name Lynx pardinus (Iberian lynx). The stretch from base 237 to 310 matches the Rfam family "tRNA". The record is from RNAcentral. Lineage: Eukaryota; Metazoa; Chordata; Mammalia; Carnivora; Felidae.
GGGCUGGGUAGGAGAGAGGAAGCCCCGCUCGGCGCCGUCUAUGUGCUUCUGCAGUUUGGGAAGGACCGGGUUUUCCCGGGAAGGAGCCCGGCUCAGCUGUGUCGACCCUGGGACGUCUCCUUUCCCUUUCCUUCUAGAAGAAACAGCGUGUCCGAGCCUCCCGUAGGGAAAGGCGCUCGUCACCCUUGGUUCGUGGUGACUUUAAAGUACGUAAGUAAAGCCAGCGCGCCAAGGCGGGCCGGUUAGCUCAGUUGGUUAGAGCGUGGUGCUAAUAACGCCAAGGUCGCGGGUUCGAUCCCCGUACGGGCCAAGCUGUGUGCUGUUUUUCCUUUUGCGGUUACCCCGUCACGUGGAAUCUGCAGCCCUACAGCCGGUUACGGAGAGUUCUACGCCGCCACUGCCGAGCGGUGCUUCUGGAAGCCUUGUUUUUGUGAAAGAAGCAAUGGCGCCCGAGAGUCCGGCUGGAAGGGCUUGUAAAGGAACGGAGGGAGGGAACGCGGGGCGGUAGGGACGGUCACAGGGCCUGCGCCCCUCGGGAGAGCCUGCCCUGCGGCAGUCCGGGCUUCCGGAGGCGCUCGCCGCCGCGGCUGCUCCCUCCGUCCGGAGUGGGGGCCGCCCCGGACCCCCGGAAAGAGCAGGAGCUCGGGUCAAGGCCGCGCACGCUCGGCGGGCGCGCGGGAAGCCUCGGGCCGCCUCGGGUCCUAGCGCCCGCCCGGUCCUUUUCCGGAGGUCCUGCCCCGGGUCCCAGCGCCCGCCGAUCUUUCCCGGAGUUCUUUCCACCUGCUUCUCCAGGCCGCUGGCUCUGCCCCGCUGGCCGCCCACGUGCUCUGCGCUUCCUCCUGUUGCUGAGUUCCGGGCAGCCACGAAAGUGACAUGAGCCAUACUGAUUAAAUAGUAACGUAAGCAGUGCCUGGAGCGUGGGGCCGGGGACGUUAGGAGAUGCUCAGUGAAUCCCAGAAAGCGGGGCUUCGUCUGUGUGGUCGGUGCUGCAUCCUCUAGGUCAAGAACAGUGCCGGGCUCAAAGCUAAAGGGUGAAAAACCUAUUUUAAAAAACUAACAAGGACUAUUCAGUACUUCAUUGUAUGUGAAAUACCGCACCCACAGAUGUGAAGUACGAGGCCGAUGCUGACCUGGGCGGACCUGCGCUCGCCCACAGCCUGCGAGGAGACUCAGCCCCGCGCCCACAGCACGGAGCCCGGCCCUUCUAUCCCUUCCUGCGAGCCCGAUGAGCCUCCCGGUUUCCGUCUGGCUCGGAUAAGGUAAUACCUUCUCGUAUCAGUAACUACAUGGGCUGCUUCUCGGGUCACUCUGCCACCUGUCACCACUGUCUCCCCUGUGGAAGGAAGUGCUACCCUCACUUUCUUGUAUAUUCUUCUCUAUGCGUGCCGCUCGCUGUAAAUAUGAAUAUGCAUUUCUCUCAGUGUGGCAUAAAGUGUUACAUUGUGCGCACUGUUUCUCAUCCUGCUUUUUCCUACUCUCUGUGUCUUGGAGCAUCUACACAGAGCCGGCACAUGGCACAGCCACUGUUAUACGCUAUUAGGACACAGCCUAUUUUCAGUCGAGUUGGUCCAGCUGGCCAGAAGCUGAAUGAGAACUUUUCAAUCCAUUUCCCCCCUGAGUCGGGAGGUACACAAGCAGGGCUGGAGAGAGGACGGGAAGAGGACACCUUUCUUCCAUUUUCUGUGAUAAUGUGGAUAAAACACUUUCUGUGCGAAACCGUAGGAUAGAGCUCCAAAGCACACCGUUGAUCGAAGGAAAUUUUGUAUAGAUGUGUUCAAAGGUAAUUUUUUCAGGAAAAGGUCAAACGAUGAGUCAGAUAGAUGUGCAAAUGAGCAUGUUGCUAGACAAUAGGAUAUUUUCAACUGUUUCAGUUCACAAAAGUGAAGUCUACUAAACUGUUACAACUCCUAGCAUAGAUGCUUAAGAGGAAAGAGAAAGGGCUUCUUUGUAGAUCUAGAAGGUAGAAUCCUAUAGCAGCUUGCACACUAUUCCAAACAAAGACUAAGUCAUCCCUCAGUCAGUCCUAUGUAAUUCUUGUUGCACCAGAUCUUGAGUUAACAGGGUGUCAGGGUAAAUGACAAUGUUUUUCUCUGUUUCUGUAGGGAAAAGUGCCCUUGUCUCCCCUCCCUGUCCUAUGCAGGGUCUCCGUGGACACCUAGUCAAUCUGAGUCCUUACUGGAAUCUUCAGAAUAGAGAUAGAUAUCUCUAUGGAUUAAGUUCAGUCUUCAGUGUUUACAGUGUAGAGUAUCUCUAAGGCUAUGGGCCAGAUAGCCUCUAGAUAGGUAAAAAUGUGCCUCCAGGAUCAGCUCAGGGGUCCGUCAUGAGAUUUCCGGGAGACCGUCAUAGGGUGCAGCCACUGGCUUCUCAAGGAGAUACAGAGAAGUUCCUAUUCUUUCUUCAGCUUUACUAUAAACAAGGAGUGAGAUUCGGACAUGAUUUUGUUGUCACUUUGGUGCUGCCAUGUACAUAACGCGAACACUUAGUAAAGUGUGUUCUCUCUCUUCUCUGAUCAGGAAGCAUCUUUCUGCUGGCCGAGUCCCUUCAUCGCCCGAGCACAGUUUCCAGAACUCAGGGGGCUUCUGGAACAGAAUUCUGGAACUCCAGGCUCGGUAGGAUGGUUAUGGGCGCAACGUUGUUGAAGCCACGCCAUCCGGAGUCUAUAACCAAGCAUAUCUGGUGGCGUGGUCUUCUCCUGUGAGGCUUUGAAGACUUGUGCUUUGUUGAAGAUAAAGCUGGCCUGUGGCUGAUUGCAGAUGCUUUCAGGGAAGUGAAGUAAAACAGAAUGACUGUGUAUAGAUGUCAGAAGAUUUAAAGGGGCCGUAAUUAAUUUAUUACUUAACGAUUUUCAAAAGCAAGAGAUCUGGUGAGAAUUCAUAACGAGGAGACUGCCACUAAGGAGUUUUGGUUGUUUCUGUGAUACAAAAACGAGAUGAGAAAGCCAAUCCAAAAUAAGUUUUAGACAAAAUAGCUACCGACAUAGCGAUCUACCCUAUUUUCAAAGGAGAUAGAAAACACUGCAUGGGAUUUAUAGCAGUGGAUGAACGUAAUUCCCACAGAGAAAAAGUCUUGAAACAGACAUAUAAUAAUCCUGAGACCUAAUAUGCUGCAAAUAUACAAGUCACACAGUAAGAAUAAUAUAUCAACAAUAUGAGACAGUUGUGGUAAGUCUGGAGUAAGUUCUACAUAUUUAUACAUUAAUUAGACUCCAUAGGCAAGUGAUGUAAAUCCCAUUUGAAAUUCAGAAGCCCAGAAGAUGCUAGAGUCCAAUUAAAGAAGUAAAGUGGCGACCAAGUAAACGUUUAAAAAAAUAGCUAAAAUUAUGACUGAUGACACUUCACUACUGUUGUCUAAUAUCAGAGAAAACAGCACCAGGACUUUCUAUGUUGGUGGAAACAUGUCAUGGGCAGUAAGAGCACUGAUAAGUCUCCAGGAAUUUCCCAUUCGGUGUACAGUUUCUGAAAUAUUUAUAUUAACGUUGUAGCCAUGCAAAUCUGACUUAGAGAAGCCUAGGCCUUUCUCCUCCUCCUCCUCCUCCUCCUCCUCCUCCUCCUCCUCCUUUUCCUCCUCCCCCUCCCCCUCCUUCUGGCAUCCCUUCUGAUUUUCACCUCUUCCUGUGCAACUCAUCAAUAAUAGCACAUCAAAUAGCCCUGGUUGUCUUCACUAUCUGCCUUUUUGCAAGGGGACAGAACGCAUCGUUAGGAUUUUCCAGGCACCUUCGGGGAAGUCUCAACCACAGGUGUAGGUGGAAACAGUACCUUGAAAGUUUUAGUUGACAUUUAGGAUUCGAUUGGGGGAAGGCAAAGGUUAAAACCGAUCAGAACAUUUGAACACUUACGAGAGGAAACAAACCAUGAUUGCUGGAGAACUUAGGUGGUUAUUGGGUUCAAAGUUACAAUAAAACAGUUAAAACUAAGCACAGAAGGUAACAUGACUGUAAACGACAUUAUUCCUAUGUAAGAAACCUUUGUUUUCUUCAGGAAGGACGACACAAUCAAUGUAAACUAUAAAGCUUAUUCUGCUAAAAAACAGAAUAUUUGCUGUCGGAGAAGGUUACACAGGGGAAACAGAAAGAACCGGUCAUAUUAUGGGUGAGGGCACCGAGCAGUUAACCAAAGGAACAAACACAUCAAAGUGAAGCAAACCUUCCCAGAUUUUGGUAUAUUCCGUGGCUCUUCAAACUCAGGUAUUCUAAAUGGGGAUAAAUAAAAUUAACCUGCCAAUUUUGCCCAUCAUUAUGUUCUUCCACACCCUGGGACAAUCUGACACUGUCCUGGCUUCAGGAGUCCACGAGGUUGGAACCGAUUUCACACCAUUGCUGAGAUGUUACCAACAUGGAUUGUGUCCGACUGUGCGAUCUCCAAAUGCGCUAAGAAGUACGAUUUUUUAAACUGCGUGUUGGGAUUGUUUGUAAUGGAACAAGCAUUUCCAGUCAAGUUCGUAUUUUAGAUACUUAAACCUUCAAGAUGUAGUUUAUUCAAUUGUUUACAGUGUUUUUCAACUGCAGCUUUCCAGCGUAAAGGGCCCGUGAAAUCCCAGGCUUCUGACCUCCCUCCCAGGGGAACCGACUGGAACGCUGAAGAACGAAACAAGAAACAGGAGGCUCUCGCGAUCUAACUGAUCCUCAGCGUGAGAAGUGUUCUGCCCGUUCCAGAAUGUACAUGUUAGGUAAACGAACAAACAGAUCCUUAAAAGCCAUAGUUCAGGAUUUGAUUCACAAAUCUGUUUAAAAACCAAGGCCGCUGCGGGUAAACGGUCAGAUAUUCUUAUUUCCAAAUAUUUUUCCUUUCGUUUGAGGCCUUUUUGUUUGUUUAUUUUGAUCUGACUGUCUUGCUUUCUCGGAUCUGUUCUAAUUGUUAUCUCUCUAAGAUUUCCUGUCCUCUAUAAAAAAAAAUCUUCACUGAAUCUGUU